RNAcentral lists this ribosomal RNA (441 nucleotides) under uncultured bacterium. RNAcentral describes it as "partial 16S ribosomal RNA". It matches the Rfam family "Bacterial small subunit ribosomal RNA", at positions 338 to 795 of the family's 1533-position model. The record is from RNAcentral.
CCUACGGGAGGCAGCAGUGAGGAAUAUUGCACAAUGGGGGCAACCCUGAAGCAGCAACGCCGCGUGAAUGAGGAAGUAUUUCGGUGUGUAAAGCUCUAUCAACAAAGAAUAGAAGAGAAGGUACCUGACAAAGAAGCCCCUGCUAACUACGUACCAGCAGCCGCGGUAAUACGUAGCGGGCAAGCGUUAUCCGGAUUUACUGGGUGUAAAGGGAGCGUAGACGGAAAGGCAAGUCAGAAGUGAAAGCCCAAGGCUCAACCAUGGGACUGCUUUUGAAACUGGCAAACUAGAGUACGGGAGAGGUAAGAGGAAUUCCUAGUGUAGCGGUGAAAUGCGUAGAUAUUAGGAGGAACACCAGUGGCGAAGGCGUCUUACUGGACCGAAACUGACGUUGAGGCUCGAAAGCGUGGGGAGCAAACAGGAUUAGAUACCCGGGUAGUC